RNAcentral lists this long non-coding RNA (269 nucleotides) under Gossypium barbadense (sea-island cotton). RNAcentral's name for it is "long non-coding RNA (GBAR_LNC013617)". Lineage: Eukaryota; Viridiplantae; Streptophyta; Magnoliopsida; Malvales; Malvaceae. The record is from RNAcentral.
UUCAAGCAUACAUCUCAUAUCAUAAUAUCACAUUUUAUGAAAACAUAUUUAGUGAUAGUUUGACACUUGAGGCUAUGAAACAUAAAAGUAGGCUCUAUCACCACACAUCGGAUAAACGGAUCUCCAACACACCAAAUGUCUCGUAGAGUCGAACAUAUCCCAAAAGUGUAGCACAUAACUAACACUCUCCAACACACCAACAUAUCCCAGUGAAUGGAGCUUAGCUCGCAUUCCCUUAUCUCUCCGAGAUUGUCCCGGGCCUUAACGCC